CCUACGGGAGGCAGCAGUGGGGAAUUUUGCGCAAUGGGCGAAAGCCUGACGCAGCAACGCCGCGUGGAGGAUGAAGGCCUUCGGGUCGUAAACUCCUGUCAGGGGGGACGAAACCCGCGAAAGCGGACUGACUGUACCCCCUGAGGAAGCCACGGCUAACUCCGUGCCAGCAGCCGCGGUAAUACGGAGGUGGCGAGCGUUGUUCGGAAUUACUGGGCGUAAAGGGCGCGUAGGCGGCAUGGCAAGUCAGAUGUGAAAGCCCCGGGCUCAACUCGGGAAUUGCAUCUGAAACUGCUUUGCUUGAGUCCUGGAGGGGGUAGUGGAAUUCCCAGUGUAGCGGUGAAAUGCGUAGAUAUUGGGAGGAACACCUGCGGCGAAGGCGGCUACCUGGACAGUGACUGACGCGAUGCGCGAAAGCUAGGGGAGCAAACGGGAUUAGAUACCCGAGUAGUC
This 453-nucleotide ribosomal RNA is filed under the name uncultured bacterium. RNAcentral's name for it is "bacterial SSU rRNA". It matches the Rfam family "Bacterial small subunit ribosomal RNA", at positions 338 to 795 of the family's 1533-position model. The record is from RNAcentral.